Molecule: ribosomal RNA, 253 nt
Filed under: uncultured bacterium
Lineage: Bacteria
Description: partial 16S ribosomal RNA
Rfam family: Bacterial small subunit ribosomal RNA
Source: RNAcentral
UACGUAGGGGGCAAGCGUUGUCCGGAAUCAUUGGGCGUAAAGAGCGUGUAGGCGGCCCGAUAAGUCCGCUGUGAAAGUCCAGGGCUCAACCCUGGAAUGCCGGUGGAUACUGUCGGGCUCGAAUCCGGAAGAGGUGAGUGGAAUUCCUGGUGUAGCGGUGAAAUGCGCAGAUAUCAGGAGGAACACCAAUGGCGAAGGCAGCUCACUGGGACGGUAUUGACGCUGAGACGCGAAAGCGUGGGGAACAAACAGG